CAAUAGCGUAUAUUAAAGUUGUUGCGGUUAAAAAGCUCGUAGUUGGUUGGCCUGGGCAUCUUCUUGGAGAACGUAGCUGCACUUGACUGUGUGGUGCGGUGUCCAGGACUUUUACUUUGAGGAAAUUAGAGUGUUUCAAGCAGGCACACGCCUUGAAUACAUUAGCAUGGAAUAAUAAGAUAGGACCUCGGUUCUAUUUUGUUGGUUUCUAGAGCUGAGGUAAUGAUUAAUAGGGAUAGUUGGGGGCAUUCGUAUUUAACUGUCAGAGGUGAAAUUCUUGGAUUUAUGAAAGACGAACUUCUGCGAAAGCAUUUGCCAAGGAUGUUUUCAUUAA
This 334-nucleotide ribosomal RNA is filed under the name uncultured eukaryote. RNAcentral describes it as "partial 18S ribosomal RNA". It matches the Rfam family "Eukaryotic small subunit ribosomal RNA", at positions 592 to 976 of the family's 1831-position model. The record is from RNAcentral.